This 398-nucleotide RNase P RNA is filed under the name Muribaculaceae bacterium. Its description in RNAcentral is "RNase P RNA component class A". It matches the Rfam family "Bacterial RNase P class A". Rfam says of the family: Ribonuclease P (RNase P) is a ubiquitous endoribonuclease, found in archaea, bacteria and eukarya as well as chloroplasts and mitochondria. Its best characterised activity is the generation of mature 5'-ends of tRNAs by cleaving the 5'-leader elements of precursor-tRNAs. Lineage: Bacteria; Pseudomonadati; Bacteroidota; Bacteroidia; Bacteroidales; Muribaculaceae. The record is from RNAcentral.
CAGGUCGGAGGGUCUGUCGCUCGCCUUUCAUAUAUAGGGCGAGAGGAAAGUCCGGGCAACACAGAGCACCAUACUCACGCAGCUAUCGGUAACGGUAGAGUAACGUGGAAGAGAACGACCGCCCCGCUGCUCCCCUCGGGAAGCGGCCGGAGGCAAGGGUGAGAAGGUGAGGUAAGAGCUCACCGGGCGGGAUAGCGAUAUUCCGUGCCGCACGUCUUGUGGGUUGCAAGGUCAAGUAUACCGGCAUUUAAGGGUUGCUCGCCCAUUGCCGGGGGGUAGACUGCUCACGUGCCGCCGCCUUCGCGGCCGCGGCCAGAUAAAUGACAGACGGCAUCGCCGAACUCUCUUUGCAGAAAGCAGGCGUGCCACAUAACUCGGCUUAUACUCCGGCCUGUGUU